This 253-nucleotide ribosomal RNA is filed under the name uncultured bacterium. RNAcentral's name for it is "partial 16S ribosomal RNA". It matches the Rfam family "Bacterial small subunit ribosomal RNA", at positions 524 to 776 of the family's 1533-position model. The record is from RNAcentral.
UACGAAGGGUGCAAGCGUUACUCGGAAUUACUGGGCGUAAAGCGUGCGCAGGCGGUUAUGCAAGACAGAUGUGAAAUCCCCGGGCUCAACCUGGGAACUGCAUUUGUGACUGCAUAGCUGGAGUGCGGCAGAGGGGGAUGGAAUUCCGCGUGUAGCAGUGAAAUGCGUAGAUAUGCGGAGGAACACCGAUGGCGAAGGCAAUCCCCUGGGCCUGCACUGACGCUCAUGCACGAAAGCGUGGGGAGCAAACAGG